This is a non-coding RNA of Globicephala melas (long-finned pilot whale), 74 nucleotides long. Lineage: Eukaryota; Metazoa; Chordata; Mammalia; Artiodactyla; Delphinidae. The record is from the annotation of a RefSeq genome assembly.
UCCCCUGGUGGUCCGGUGGUUAGGACUCUGCGCUCUCACCGCAGAGGACCCAGGUUCAAUCCCUGGCGGGGGAA